Molecule: non-coding RNA, 1485 nt
Organism: Arachis ipaensis
Lineage: Eukaryota; Viridiplantae; Streptophyta; Magnoliopsida; Fabales; Fabaceae
Source: RefSeq, a predicted model, not a curated record
CGUUCAAACAGAAUAGUGCCAUUUAGUAGGAAAAAGGCCUUGUUAUUAUAUUUUUGUCUGUUCCAUCCAUUUUCUAGCACCCAUUUCUGGGCAUUUUUACUUUUCAAACAAUCGGGCAUAUUUUGUGUUCCCUUCAUUCUUGUCAAUAACAGAUCAAAUGCUUUAUGCAAUUCAUAACCCAAUACAUCUGAGUACAACUUAUUCAAAAUUGAGGAAAUAUUUAAAGUGAAAAAAUAUAAAAUCCAUUCAAGGAUGUGCUUCCAACUACCUUGCAUACAUUAACAAGUGUGCACUUCUGACUUUACUGGCCUUAUAAGAGGUACUGGUUACCUGAUUACUAUGAUAAUUGAAAACAUUGAUUUAAAUGUUGGUCAAGGUUUUCCAGUAGUUUGAUAUUGGUCAAUGAUUCUUUUUUUUGGUAACUUAUACAAAAGUAGAUGAUGCCAAUGUCACAAUUUAGUUUGGCACUUUAAGAAUUAUUUUUCCACGAUCAGCUCCACCCCAAUUUUAGGAUGACUGUACUGUUAAUCAAUGUUGUGAACUCCAGUGAUAGUCUAAAAUAGUUUUUAUUUAUAAUUUACACAAGUGCAUCACAUGGUAAUGAUAUGACAUUUAAUCACUUUCCAUUUUGCUGCAAUAUUAUAUGCUUUUCCUCUUAAUUUGUUGCCAUCCCUUAGUGAUAUCAUUAGAAGUGGUACCAUCAACUGUAACAUCAUGAAAAGUUAUGAUGAUAUGUAGCUAAUUUUUUCACUUUUCUCUCUUUAUUGCAGGGCCUCUUUAAUUCAAUUGCAUAUGGCCUUAAUUCUUCUGUUCGUCGAGCAAUUUGUGAAAGAGUGGACAAGUAUUGGCCUGAGGGUCUUAAGAGAUGGCUCCCUAUCAAUUUCAAGUACAAGGCCUUAACGCAAGAAAGUGAACUAGUAUUGUUAAGUACUGAUGGUCAGCGAUAAUGAAUGUGGAUGCUUUUCGUCCUCCAUACCAUGUUUUGACUCUUUUUCAUUCUAGCGAGAUGCCGUUUUCCAUAGACAACAGAGGAUCUUUUGACGUCAUUGAUUCCAGACUAUUUGUUCGGAUGCUUCUUUAGUUAUGUGAAUCAUGUAGUUCACAUUGACAUUAUGAAAUUUGUACCAACAACGAGGAUCCCUCUUAAAGAAAUCAGAGGGAGUUCAUGUGGAAUCUGGGUUUUGAAGCUGUUAUCCUCAAACGAAACACCCUCACUUGAAGUUCAGGAAGUGCAUUUUUUUCUCCCAAUGUUUCUCCCUGUGAUUCAUCUUUAACAAGCCUAGAUGCUAACUGUUCCCGUUUGUGCCAUUGUAUUUCCUCAGGUUUCUGCAAAUAGUGAUUGCCUAAUUUUUGUUGUUGCUAUCAAGGAUAAGGUGCACCUUCAGAUUGUUUACAAAUUGCUGGACAUUUUUUUUACUUCCAAAUAUGUUGGAUGUAUAGAAAAGUACUUUUCAGAGUGAAAUCCACGUCUAUAUUGUUGUUACC